This 253-nucleotide ribosomal RNA is filed under the name uncultured bacterium. RNAcentral describes it as "partial 16S ribosomal RNA". It matches the Rfam family "Bacterial small subunit ribosomal RNA", at positions 524 to 776 of the family's 1533-position model. The record is from RNAcentral.
UACGUAGGGUGCAAGCGUUGUCCGGAAUUAUUGGGCGUAAAGCGUCCGCAGGUGGCACUUCAAGUCUGUCGUCAAAGACUGGGGCUUAACCCUGGAAAGGCGGUGGAAACUGAAGCGCUAGAGUGCGGUAGGGGUAGAGGGAAUUCCCGGUGUAGCGGUGAAAUGCGUAGAGAUCGGGAAGAACACCGGUGGCGAAAGCGCUCUACUGGACUGCAACUGACACUCAGGGACGAAAGCUAGGGGAGCGAAUGGG